AAGUCACUGACCCAUUUCCACUGCUGCUCUCUCAUCUGCUGCUCUGAAGCCUAAACCAUGGUGCCCAGAAUCUUCGAUGCAACUCAUGAGAAGCUGGAGGACCUGGAGAAGCUGGCAACUCAAAAAGGCCAAAGGGUGCAGACAAUAAAAGCCCCAGACAAGCGUAUAGAACCACACGCCGUCUUUUUACUUGCGGCCCAGGGCGGCUCAUGGAGGAGACAGGGACUCUCCCCAGGUCGAAGGCCCAAGGCCUGGAUGAUGGGGUGGGGCCCAGGAUGGGUGCCAGGGGUCUGGAGGACAUGAGUGGAUGAAGGCCCCGGGCUUCAGCUUCCUCUUGGUGGAAUGUGGGUGAUGAGGUCCGACCAUGCAGCGCUGCUGUGAGGACCGGAUGAGAGGAUCCCUGGGAGGUGGCCGG
This 415-nucleotide long non-coding RNA is filed under the name Homo sapiens (human). Its description in RNAcentral is "HSALNT0260822". The record is from RNAcentral. Lineage: Eukaryota; Metazoa; Chordata; Mammalia; Primates; Hominidae.